GAAAGUGGACUUCUAGAACUGCUUCAUGAAGUAGCAAAAAUAAUGGAAUAAAUGUUUUUUGAAGCAAGGGGAGUUAUUUUGAGGGGGAUUAAUGCCAAUGUGUCUUACUGUAAUAAUUUAAAAAUGUUUAUUUAAAUAGUCACUGUAUUUUUUUUUUGGUACUGGGGAUCGAACUCUGAUCCUUCUGCUUGCAAGGCAGGCGGCAGAACCACUGAGCUAAAUCCCCAGCCCCUUGUCACUGUAUAUUUUAUCAUAACUCAUCUGACAUUGAAUAACAAACAACAAAAUACUUUGAUGUCUGAUAGGAGGGAAAUAAGUGAAGCAAAUGCCUAUGAUUGUUUCUGCUUACUGCCAAGUAGGAGUUUUCAAAAAGCAGAACAGCUAGGAAGUACUUAAAUAAAACUUCUUGGUCUCACUGAGUUGAAGAGAGAAAACUCAAAAUUUGAGGAGGUCAAGCUCAUAAGAAUCUGUGAGUUAGAAUGCCUGAAGGAAGGAAUCCUAAUAAAGAGAAAUCCCUAGAGAUAUGUGAAAGGGCUCCUACAGUCUUUGGCUAAAUACAGUAGAGAUGAAUGCAUGGAAACUACUCAAGGCUGAACUGAGAAGCACAGAAAAGCAGUAGGUCAAAUUUGAGGGGAAGUAUUCUAGGUAAGACUAGGGAAAGUUUGUAUUCCUGCCAACCACACUGAAAAGUCUUUGUAAUACACAAGUAAUACACAGGAAUUUAGGAAGACAUUGUGUUAACACACAAAACACCAGAAAGAUACCAUAUUAGUUAUGACUCUAAAUUAUGGCUAGACUAUUAUAUUAAUUGUGUGUCUAAAUUAUCCCUAGGCUCAGUAUAUAUAAAAGUUUGAAAUUGAUCAAAAUGAGUACAAGUAACUUGAUUUUAAGCUAUGAACAUAUCCAACAUACUGCAGAAAUUAUAUUUUAAAAUCCUAUACCCAACAGGAUUAAAAAUUAUCAUGUCUGGCGUCCAGCCAAAAAUUACUAUGCACACAAAGAAACAGGCAAAUGUGUCCCAUAAGUAGGAUAAAAUUCAACCAAUAGAAACAAACCAAGAAAUGACAGAAGCUAUCAUUAUCAAACAAGAGAAUAAAAGAAUUACUAGAAGCAUUCUCCAUAUGUUCAUGAAAGUAAUGAAAGAUGUGAAAUAAACAUAAGGAAGCCAGAAAUGAAAGCCAUAAACAAGUCCAAAUGUAGUGUCUCUCUGAAAGGAUAGUACACCAAGUACAACUAACGUCAGAGUAGACCCUGAAGAAUGAGCUUGAUGACAUGGCAAUAGAAAACACGGAGGAAAACAGUACCAGUGAUAGGUGGAAGAAAAACUGACCAGUCUAAUGAAGGAAGGAAGGAAGGAAGGAAAGAGAAAGAAAGAAAGAAAGAAAGAAAGAAAGAAAGAAAGAAAGAAAGAAAGAAAGAAAGAAAGAAAGAAAGAAAGAGAAAGAAAAGAAAGGAAGGAAGAAAGGAAGAAAGAACUGAAAAACAUUCCAAAUUAUAUACUCUCAGAUCCAAGAUAUUCAAAAGACUCCAAAGAAUAGAAACACAAAGAAAAUAAUAACAUGGUACAUCAUAGUCAAACUGCUGAAAGACAGUAAUAAAGACUAAAAUUUUAAAGCAGCUAAUGAGGAAAAAUACAUAUUAUAUACAAUGGAAUAAGAAUUAGAAUGAUGGUCAAUCUCAUUUUUCCAACUAUGAAUUCCAGAAGGCAUUGAACUGACACAUUUAAAUUAUUGGAAGAAAAGAAAAGCCAAUUUAGAAUGCUUUUACAAGUGAAAGUACCUUUCAAUAAUAUAGUAAAAAUAAAGUUUCUUAUAUGACAAAAUGGCCCAAGACAACUUAUUACCAGCAAAUUCGUACAAUCAGACAGAUUAGCGGAUAUUUAUUAGGCUAAAAGGAAAUGUGCUAGAUGGAAAAUAAGAUCAGUACAAGGAAUGAAUAGGACCAGAAGUACAGUUACUGCCCUUGACCAGAGCUAGGAAGCCCCUUGUAGGUCCUAAGAGGAUGGGGCUCUUAUUAGGUCAUUGCUGUGAGGCUAUUUUGCUGAGCAAGACUUCAUGGAACCUGUUUAAAAUAAAUGUCUCAUAUCUCUACACAGGUUUUCAAUUUGCAUCUUUUCCAG
RNAcentral lists this long non-coding RNA (2119 nucleotides) under Heterocephalus glaber (naked mole-rat). Its description in RNAcentral is "lncRNA (ENSHGLG00100034587.1)". Lineage: Eukaryota; Metazoa; Chordata; Mammalia; Rodentia; Bathyergidae. The record is from RNAcentral.